This 467-nucleotide ribosomal RNA is filed under the name uncultured bacterium. RNAcentral's name for it is "bacterial SSU rRNA". It matches the Rfam family "Bacterial small subunit ribosomal RNA", at positions 49 to 507 of the family's 1533-position model. The record is from RNAcentral.
UAACACAUGCAAGUCGAACGGAACUUUGUUGAAUGUAAGUUUUCGGAUGGUAUUUUGAUAAGUUUAGUGGCGGACGGGUGAGUAACGCGUGAGCAACCUGUCCCUUUUCAGGUGGGGGUCAACAGUUGGAAACGACUGCUAAUACCGCAUAAUGUUAUUUGGGGGCAUCCCCGAAUAACCAAAGAUUUAUUGCUGAAAGAUGGACUCGCGUCUGAUUAGCUAGAUGGCGGGGUAACGGCCCACCAUGGCGACGAUCAGUAGCCGGACUGAGAGGUUGAACGGCCACAUUGGGACUGAGAUACGGCCCAGACUCCUACGGGAGGCAGCAGUGGGGAAUAUUGGGCAAUGGGCGAAAGCCUGACCCAGCAACGCCGCGUGAAGGAAGAAGGUUUUCGGAUUGUAAACUUCUGAUCUAUGGGAAGAAGAAAGUGACGGUACCAUAGGAGAAAGCCACGGCUAACUACGUG